GCCCGCGCCCAGCCAAUCAAAAUUGGCCUUCUAGGUAUGUGACCUUAGCUGGCAGCUGAUUGGUCCCUCACGAGAGACGCGGGGUCAGCGGCUCAGAGCGCGGCUGUGUGGGGCUGCGGGGCUCCCGCCAUGCCCGCUGGGGUAGGUCCUGCGGACCCCGGCCACUGGAGCCACUCAUCAUUUCCGACGGAUGGGCCGGAGGGGCCGCCGGCCGCCCCAGCCAGGGUCUCGGUAGCCUGCAAGGAGAGAAAGAGGUGGGAGCAGCCCGCGCGGGGCCCUGCGUCUUGCAUAGGCGCUUCUGGUAAAAUCACUCCUUUAUCUCAGAUAAUGAGUUGGCGCUGGAUCGCUGCGUCCUCAGGUGGGGCUCGAAUCGUGACUUUUAGAGAAAUAGGUUUUCUUUCUUUUUUUUUUUUUUUAACAACAUGGGGUUUAAAGGGCGCGGAAUUGGAAGCAGUCGUCACCCGGAGGCCUGGGCGUGCAAGCACCGAAGCUCUGGCUGGCCCUGAGCCUCCCCACCCCACCCGCUCUUUUCGCUGGAACGCGUGUACUUUGGGCAGUUGCUGACGUGGAGACAGGACGUAUGUCUUCAUAUUUUAGUAAAACCCAAUGCCCUCUGCCUCUCUGAUUAUGUUCUUUAAGUUAUCGCCAGUUCCAAUUUGUAUUUCUUGGAAACGGUUGGGUCUUCCCUCACUUUUCAGUAUUUUCAUGUAGACUCAAAUACUCUGGAUUAAUAUUUGUAUUUGCCCAAACCAUCACGAGCACCUCUUACCCUGAUGGGCAAUACUUCAGUGUGCUGCGUUCUGGCCACAGAGCAAACAGGGUGCUCCCAGGCACUGCCCUCUCGGAUUUCUUGCCUUGUUAUUUAAUCAUUAAGAUCGUGACCUAUGAGCAGGACUGUUUCCAGCCAGCACAUACACAUGUCCUCUCCUGGCCAGCAUCCAUGCUGAUUAGACGGUGCCCCUGCCAUACUAGCUGCCUAAUAUUUCAGAUACCCCACCCCGUGUGUGUGUGUAAAUCAUGUCACUGCCCUCUUUGUAGCUAAUGACAAAAUUCCAAGAGUCACCAUUAGCCUAGCACAUUAUGCCUGUCUCAUUUCUGCCCACUUUGGAGCACUCGGCUUCUCUGCUGUUUUCCUCCAGAGCACACUGAAACACUGCCAUAGCACAGCAGGGCAUAGAAGACAGGCUCAUGCUCCCCUGGACGCUCAGGCCUUCACCUCGGGCACACUAGGUCUUGUCAUUCCAUGUCAAGAAUAGCUCUUCACUGCCCUCACCCACCCAAGAAUGGCUAAAAUUAAAAGGACUGACAAUACCUAGUUUGUCGAGGAUGUCACAGCUGGAACCCUCAUACAUGGCUCAUGAAAUUGAUAAAACCACAUUGG
Molecule: long non-coding RNA, 1381 nt
Filed under: Homo sapiens (human)
Lineage: Eukaryota; Metazoa; Chordata; Mammalia; Primates; Hominidae
Description: non-protein coding lnc-MAP1LC3B-1:3
Source: RNAcentral